UACGAAGGGAGCUAGCGUUGUUCGGAAUCACUGGGCGUAAAGCGCACGUAGGCGGAUGUGUCAGUCAGGGGUGAAAUCCCGGAGCUCAACUUCGGAACUGCCUUUGAUACAGCACGUCUUGAGUCCGGAAGAGGUGGGUGGAAUUCCUAGUGUAGAGGUGAAAUUCGUAGAUAUUAGGAAGAACACCAGUGGCGAAGGCGGCUCACUGGUCCGGUACUGACGCUGAGGUGCGAAAGCGUGGGGAGCAAACAGG
Molecule: ribosomal RNA, 253 nt
Filed under: uncultured bacterium
Lineage: Bacteria
Description: partial 16S ribosomal RNA
Rfam family: Bacterial small subunit ribosomal RNA
Source: RNAcentral